Molecule: ribosomal RNA, 493 nt
Filed under: uncultured bacterium
Lineage: Bacteria
Description: partial 16S ribosomal RNA
Rfam family: Bacterial small subunit ribosomal RNA
Source: RNAcentral
AUUGAACGCUGGCGGCAUGCUUUACACAUGCAAGUCGAACGGUAACAGGUUAAGCUGACGAGUGGCGAACGGGUGAGUAAUGCAUCGGAACGUGCCCGAUCGUGGGGGAUAACGCAGCGAAAGCUGCGCUAAUACCGCAUACGAUCUGAGGAUGAAAGCGGGGGACGGUAAGGCCUCGCGCGAUCGCAGCGGCCGAUGUCAGAUUAGGUAGUUGGUGGGGUAAAGGCUCACCAAGCCAACGAUCUGUAGCUGGUCUGAGAGGACGACCAGCCACACUGGGACUGAGACACGGCCCAGACUCCUACGGGAGGCAGCAGUGGGGAAUUUUGGACAAUGGGCGAAAGCCUGAUCCAGCAAUGCCGCGUGCAGGAAGAAGGCCUUCGGGUUGUAAACUGCUUUUGUACGGAGCGAAAAGGCUCUCUCUAAUACAGGGGGCUCAUGACGGUACCGUAAGAAUAAGCACCGGCUAACUACGUGCCAGCAGCCGCUGUAA